Long non-coding RNA from Salvia splendens (bonfire salvia), 649 nucleotides. RefSeq lists it as uncharacterized. NCBI's taxonomy places the organism in Eukaryota, Viridiplantae, Streptophyta, Magnoliopsida, Lamiales, Lamiaceae. The record is from RefSeq and is a predicted model, not a curated record. The transcript is spliced from 2 exons.
AUUAGUGGUAGUUUCUAUUCUUUUCACAAUUAACCUUUAAUACAAGGCGUGAAUAGUUUAUAACCACCCAAUUUCAGUUUUUGAUUUUCACGAAACCUACAUUUGUUGCAACCUCUCAUCUCUCUCUCUCUCUCUCUCAUUGCAUGUAUAGAAUGGGGAGAAGGAAGAUAUUAGUAUCAUUAGUGGUGGUGUCAUUACUACUAUGUUGUUCAGAAUGUUUGCAACACAGAGUUGGGGAUUCAAUAUGGUCUAUUCCUCCAACCAAUAAUUUCUACAAAAACUGGUCUUCUUCCUACAACUUUCACACUGGAGACACUCUUUAUUUCGACUUCGAUUCAGGGCUUUACAACGUGCUUCAAGUGUCGAGAGGCGAGUUCGAUAUGUGCACCGGAUAUGAGCCAUACAAGACCUUCAUCGACGGACCGGCAAGCAUCCCUUUGCCUAUGAAAGGCGUCUUUUAUUAUGUAUGCAAUGUCUCCAACUAUUGUGCCUUAGGCCUCAAGCUUUGGGUCAUCGUCGAACAGGCUUGAUUCAUAUGAUUUAUUUUUCUUCUAUUCUUACUUUAAGUUAUUUUUAUUUGUAGCAUAUAUUGAGAUUUGAUCUCUUUUGUCAACUCGAAUUCCAAUUAUUACAAGAAUCGACUUGCCUA